This 692-nucleotide ribosomal RNA is filed under the name Shigella flexneri. RNAcentral's name for it is "bacterial SSU rRNA". It matches the Rfam family "Bacterial small subunit ribosomal RNA", at positions 91 to 779 of the family's 1533-position model. The record is from RNAcentral. Lineage: Bacteria; Pseudomonadati; Pseudomonadota; Gammaproteobacteria; Enterobacterales; Enterobacteriaceae.
ACGAGUGGCGGACGGGUGAGUAAUGUCUGGGAAACUGCCUGAUGGAGGGGGAUAACUACUGGAAACGGUAGCUAAUACCGCAUAACGUCGCAAGACCAAAGAGGGGGACCUUCGGGCCUCUUGCCAUCGGAUGUGCCCAGAUGGGAUUAGCUUGUUGGUGGGGUAACGGCUCACCAAGGCGACGAUCCCUAGCUGGUCUGAGAGGAUGACCAGCCACACUGGAACUGAGACACGGUCCAGACUCCUACGGGAGGCAGCAGUGGGGAAUAUUGCACAAUGGGCGCAAGCCUGAUGCAGCCAUGCCGCGUGUAUGAAGAAGGCCUUCGGGUUGUAAAGUACUUUCAGCGGGGAGGAAGGGAGUAAAGUUAAUACCUUUGCUCAUUGACGUUACCCGCAGAAGAAGCACCGGCUAACUCCGUGCCAGCAGCCGCGGUAAUACGGAGGGUGCAAGCGUUAAUCGGAAUUACUGGGCGUAAAGCGCACGCAGGCGGUUUGUUAAGUCAGAUGUGAAAUCCCCGGGCUCAACCUGGGAACUGCAUCUGAUACUGGCAAGCUUGAGUCUCGUAGAGGGGGGUAGAAUUCCAGGUGUAGCGGUGAAAUGCGUAGAGAUCUGGAGGAAUACCGGUGGCGAAGGCGGCCCCCUGGACGAAGACUGACGCUCAGGUGCGAAAGCGUGGGGAGCAAACAGGAUU